GCUUCACUUCUAGAAGAGAAAAAAUGUGAUUAAGAACUUUAAACAACAAAUUUUAAAUAUUUAUUAUGGAUUGAAAUAGUUAGUUUAUUUGAACCUAAGAUCUUCUACGACGAUUGAUGAUUGUGACGAAAUUAAUAAAUUUACAUGAAUUAAACAAAUUUUGAAUUCUGCAUGGAUCGGAUUUGAGGAAUGAAUAUCAGAGCUCUGUGUUAGAAAGGAUGGAUUCUAAAAUGAAGGAAAGAAUCCCACACCGGCUUAGUCCACACUUUUUCUCUUCAGACGAAGGACCUGAGACCGGGGAGGACAGCGAGGAUGACCUUGUUCGAUCAUAUCUACCCUCAGACAGAGGGUAUGGAGUAAAUGGAUCCUCAGGUCUCUACGAUAACAAUCAUAUUCCCGCAAUUAAUAUCACCCUGCACUCACCCAACGCUAACCAUGUACUAGAGGCCGAGAUCUGUCAGUUGGCAGAUAUCCAGGAGAAUAUCCAGAGAAUGCGGGAAGGAGAGGUCUUGGAUCAACAGAGUCUUGAAUCCAGAUUAUCCACCUCCUGCCCAUCUCUUGCUGUUGAAAUCUCCAACCGGAAACGGAACAGACACUCACACCAACAAAGAUAUCGACGCAGAUCGGACAGAAACCGCAGUCCGUCCAUGUCGACUGGAGAGAGCGAAGAGGAGGUGUCGGAGGAGGUGGACAAUUCAAUUCAUAGAUCGUCAGACUCGGUCGAACGCUCAAGAGACUCUGUUGACGGUCGAAACAGAGACAGGUCGUCUUCCCUUCGUCCCGCCCUGUUCCAUCAGCAGGCUUGUCAGCCUGUGGAGGCGGUAAACCAGCUGGCUAAAAGUGUGUCAACUCCGCAUAUUGCUGAGAAUGGUACUUCACAAACUAGUACAGAGGAAUACAGCACAAGCAGCUCUAAGUCCCCCCGCCGCCGCCCUCCGGAGCCAACUCAUGUCUUUAUUCAGAAGCUUAUUGCUGAGCAUGGAUGGAGUAAGCAAGGGAGUGGGACGGAUUCUGAAACUGAAGGAGACGAAGUCCAGCGUCCUGUUCUACUACAUCAUCCUCCACCGAGGCCCCUUUCUCAGCCACAGCAACAUCAUCCGCAACAACAACAACAUCAUGCUUCACCACAGCUCACUUUAGCAGAAUUCUUGCAAAAUCAAGCUCUCGCUGAAGAGGAUCCUAGAAAACGGCGACGGAACAAGAAGGAGCGCGGGGGAAGUCUCUUCUCCCUGCGCAAGAAGAAGGAUAAAAAGGAGACUGGGAAGGGUUUGACUAAAGCUGGAAGCGCGGCAUCUCUCUCUAGGCCGAUCAGCGCGCCCCGUGUUCCUCAGCACAGCUACAGCAUGUCCAGCAUUAAGCGCUAUCCACCCAGCUCAUCCCAGUUCUACCUGGCCCGCUCAGAAAGCAGUAAAUCAACAACGGAGGAUAAAGAGGAUGUGGACGGAGAGAAGGAGAAUCUACUUGAGAGUGAAAUCCUACCUGGAGAAGAAUUCCCGGAAUCAUUCCCGCUCUCCUUCAGGAACCUGGACGCUGACCCAUACCUUCGUCUUCAGAAAGAGGAACCAGAUACCUGGGCUAACUCCGUCCCACAAGGGAUGGCCUCUGCACUGAAACCUCACGAGGCUAAACGCCAGGAACAUAUUUAUGAGUUUAUUAUGACAGAAAAGCAUCACUGCCAGCUACUUAAGGUGAUCCAAAAGGUAUUCUGUGAGGGGUUGGUCACCUACCUUGACAUGAAGCAGGAGAUCGUCGACAGAUUGUUCCCGCAGCUUGAUACUCUCAUCAGUAUUCAUUUUGAGUUCCUUCGACAACUUAGGAUUCGACAGGAUUCUACAUCAGUGAUUCCUUCUAUUGCUGACGUUUUGUUGGAACAGUUUCACAGUGAUACAGCAGUCAGGUGGCAGCAGGCCUACGGGGUCUUCUGUUCACAGCACAGCGAUGCGGUCAACGUAUACAAGGACUUACUUAAAAGUGAUAGAAGGUUUCAUGAAUUUGUUCAGCAAUCUAGUCACAACCCUCUGCUACGAAAGAUGGGUAUACCAGAGUGUAUUCUUACAGUCACCACAAGGAUAACUAAAUAUCCGCUUUUAAUCGAACCCUUGAUCAAGACGGCAAAAGAUCGGCCAGAUGAGCAGCAAAAGCUGCGGAACUGCUUACACCUUGUCAAAUCAAUCCUUAUUGACGUUAAUGGACAGGUUGCAGAAAAAGAAAGAGGCCAGCGUCUUAUUGAAAUAUACAACCGUCUUGACGCAAAAAGCUUCCUCUCCGUCGACGGACGAAAAUUUAAGAAAUCUGACUUCUUGUUGGACAACCGGAAGCUGUUGUUUGAGGGCGUGGCAACCCUGGUUAAUCCUGCCAUAAACCUCAACGCGGGAAGUGGGCGUGGAAAUCGUAGCCCCGCCCCUCUUUUGGUUAAUGUUGUUGUACUAAGUGAUGUUCUGGUGUUCUUGCAAGAUUUCAACCAGAAAUAUACAUUUAUCUGCCCCGAAAACAGAUCUGGUUUAGCUCCUGUCCACUCUCUGAUAGCUCGGGAGAAACCUGGAACGGAUAACAAGGCACUCUACAUCAUCAGCACUAACGAUAAGGAUCCUGAGAUGUAUGAACUGGGUAUAGUUCAACCUAGAGAUAGACAAGAAUGGAUUUCUGGAAUACGGCGAGCUGUUGAUAUGAGUGUAGGAGGUCCCGGGGAGGAGGAAGCAGAAUUAGAGUCAGAGUCUCAACAGGUGAAGAAGCAGCUUGAAGCUAAAUAUAUGAAGCUGAGGCAACUAACAGGAGAGCUUCGUGGUCGGGAUAUGGAGCUGGGCAGAGUCAUGGAGGAUAAAAUGAGGGUGCUUCUCGAGAUGCUUGAGGAGUUGGGAGUAGACUCCGGACUAGGACAGGUUAAGUACACUGGACUGAUCCAGGAGCAGGAGAUGAGUUUAAGAAAGGAGGAUUUACUCCAAGAACUCCAAGAGGCGUCCCGUCUUGCCGCCACAUUUUUUUCCGCCUCAUCUCACCUUGGGCGCUCCGCCUCCUCUGUCGGCGAGAAACAAUCAGAAGUGUAUGAAACACCAGCGCUGCCGAAGCGGGCAGAGACAUUCGGUGGUUUCGAUGCUGACCUUGGUCGAGGUAGACGGCGGAGUGGAGGUUGGGUUGAGCAGGGACUAGGCGGAUCUCCUGCUUUGCUGGGGCUGGAUAAAGGUCAGCAGGUAGCUGCUGUUCAGCUUGCUCAUCAUCUCAACAAUAUUCUUUGUAUGGUGUCAGAACACUUCACUAGUUUACAGGGACUUAAGGUUGAGUUGGCUGAAUGCAAAGAAAGAGCUGCUCUUGGCUGGGGCCGUUACAAGCACAAUCAGCAGCUUGAGGAGCUAAGAACCCUUCAGGAGCGACUCCAGGAGGAGCGGCGAAGUUGGCAGGAGCAGAAGAUGGAGCAGGAGCGGGAGUAUAAACAGAAACAGGAGAGCAUGGCUAAACUUCAGGCCGCCUUAGAGCAAGACAAGAAGGAUGUUGAACAACAGAGAGAUAAAUUGUACAGAAAACUUGAAGCUUUGAGAGCUCAGGGUAUAGACUUUGCUCCUAACAUGACUGUGAUAGGUGCGCCCCAAGCGCCCAACCCGGAACCCCAUUUCAUAAUGGAGGUGCGUAAGGCCGUUUCGCCGCCGAGCGACGGACGAAAACAAACACACGCUCAAUCCCUCGCUGCGAGUAAAGGACUCUCCCUGUCUCAAAGUAACAUGGUAAACCAGAACCUAAUAUCUGCCACUAUAGAGACCAAGGGGGAUGUCCACGAGGUGAAACAGCAGAUUCCAUCUAAGCUUGCCAAGUUAUCUCUCGCUGGAUCUAAAGGAAAAGACAAGAAAAGUUUAUCUAACAUGAAAACUAGUAUCUCUGGGCCCUUGACUAACCUACCUACUCUAACCAUCAACCCAACCCAACAGAUGCUUCCUUAUAAACUAUCAGAGGCGGAGAAAAAGUCCUCACUGUCCCCCAAGGGUUACCAGAAACUUUCCAGUUCAAGUUUUGCCGAGGAUAGGUUAGGUCGGUCGGCGUACAGGGAAGACGUGUCUCACUCCCGCACCGGAAGUAGUCCGGCAGCUAUGAGUGGCCGACCAAUGUCCAGCUCCAAUACAUUGCCAAAAUCUCACAGAACAGAGAGUCCAGAGAAGAGUCAACCUCUGGUUCAGCGCGUAAAUUACGCAGACUCCGGAGAAGAGGUUUUUUUCUUCUGACAAAAGCUCCGGAAUCUUCGGAGCAGCCUCUCCUGAUAUUUGUCAAUGUUUGGUUGUUGGCCAGGAGUUCAGGGACACUGCUUAGUGAUAUAUUCCUGUUCUAGUGAUUAGUGAAUACUAAUUAUCCCACAAACUUUUGUCUCCUCCAGCUGCGUAUGGUGGUGACUGGGUGGGUUUAACUAGGUCGUAAGACAGCAUUCUUAUACAAGUUUUCUUUUCAUGUUUAGCUGGGUUGUAAAAAUAAAACCCGGUUUCGGUCAACCGUGUUCACGUUGACCCCGUAUCCUGACACAUUCCCGUAGUUUAUAUUAUGCAAGUAUUUACUUUAUCACCUUGUUGAAUGAAAAUUUAAUAUUUUUCUCUUAUCAUUGUGAAUUAGCUAUUUAUCAGUAUUAAUGUUUAGAUCUUUAAAAUUUAUAUGGGGACAGUCUAAAACUAUUACAAACAGACACUUUUUUUUAAUGAAUAUUUUUCCAAAUCAAAAUAUUCUUAAGAUUUCAAUCUAAAGUAUUUCAUUGUAAGUCUGACACUGUUGGUUGAAUUUGAAAUCUUUUGGUCAAUAAUUAUUUUUAGUAUUUUUGUUGAAAUAUUUCAUGAAUUUAAUUUAUACUUAUUUUUUGUGAGUUUGUAUCUAGAGUUUGUAUAAUAUUCUACCAAUAAAUUUAUUAAUCUUGUCC
Eurytemora carolleeae is the source of this 4885-nucleotide RNA transcript. It is a transcript of the gene named rho guanine nucleotide exchange factor 18, with no coding region annotated. Lineage: Eukaryota; Metazoa; Arthropoda; Copepoda; Calanoida; Temoridae. The transcript has 27 exons. The record is from RefSeq and is a predicted model, not a curated record.